AUAUGUUUACCUGUUGUCACAAACAUAGCAUUUCAGUGUUCAGUUUGUUUUUGCCGAGUAGUUACGUUUUGAUAGUGUAUUCUGUGCCCUAUUUAAAGACAAUUUAUUGAUUGAAGAAGAACAUUCAGUUGCAGAAUUCCAAAGAUGGUUAGACUUGUAUAUGACAUGUGACGGUAAAAUGACAGAAUUACCACUAUUGAACAACGUACAAACUUAAAAUUCCCUAGGAUUUUUUAUUUUUGUCCAUAUCAACUUUAAUACUUCGUAUCAUAUAUCCGAGAACAUCCAAAACUCUAUGAAAUUGAAAAUUCUAUCUGUUCCGACUUUGAAUUAUUCCAAAAAAAAGGCUUAGAAAAAGUCAGUCCAUUUAGGCCCGAAAAUUUUAUAGUGGCAACACUGAAUAGGGGUACUGGAAUCAUCCAUUGGCGUCGUAUAUAAAGCGUGUUUUUUAUAGAGGUAUAGAACUUUAAGUUGCAAUAAAACGAUGGAUUAUUCGAUUGA
Leptinotarsa decemlineata (Colorado potato beetle) is the source of this 501-nucleotide long non-coding RNA. RefSeq lists it as uncharacterized. The record is from RefSeq and is a predicted model, not a curated record. Lineage: Eukaryota; Metazoa; Arthropoda; Insecta; Coleoptera; Chrysomelidae.